GUGGUAAUCCCAGCACUUGGGAGACUGAAGCAGGAGGACUGUUGAGAAUUUGAGGCCAAUCUAGGCUACAUAGUGAGUUCAAGGCCAGCCAGAACUACACAGCAAGACUCUGUCUCAAAAACUCAAAACCAAAAAAAAAAAAGAAAAAAAAGAAAAGAAAACCAGAAAAAGGUAUGAGCACUCAGUCUGAGGCAUGGUUUUGUUGUGAUGUGCUGACUUUGCCAGAGGGCCAAAUCAGAGGGACUGCCUGAUUUUGAACUUGGACCUCCAGAACACCCUUGGUGGGAUGUUUCCUUUGAAGUCUCCCACCUCACUGCCUCCCAGGAUGAACAUGACCUAAGCCAGCCUAUACUCUGUCAAGGCCAGAGCAAGGCCACACUCCACAGCCCAUGACCGAGGCAGGGAGGAGUCAAGGCCACAUGACAGAUUUUCCUUUGUGCAAAGUCUGCUGGCCUUUUGGGGACCGAUCCUUGACGUCAUCAGCACCAGCAAGUGUGGCCAAGUGGACCUACCCACUCAGACCAUAGCGACCAUGACAUAACCACUGACAUUUCACAACUUUUUGAACGCUCCAGGAAGCUGGCAAGGUUUGCAAUGGACUUCUUUUGCCCAUGGCUUGUCAUUGCAGCCUUCAUCAGACAUAAACAAGUAUUUACUGAAGGAGGAUGCUAAGGAAGACCUGUGUCAAGGCCCAAUAGAGGGACUGACAUGAUCAAGCCAGGGUCACUCUGGGUCCUGUUUUGUACUCUUAUGUACACGAGGACAACUACCACCACUUCAGGACCAAGUGAAUGCACUGCAGCAGUUUGCUUCCUGUACCAUGGACCAAGCAUGUGGGAUCCUCACCACCUUUUUUCCUGAGUCACAGAGAGGCCACACAGAAGAGUUCUCCUAACUUCUUAAUUUCAAU
Long non-coding RNA from Heterocephalus glaber (naked mole-rat), 910 nucleotides. Lineage: Eukaryota; Metazoa; Chordata; Mammalia; Rodentia; Bathyergidae. The record is from Ensembl.